GCCAGGCGCGGUGGCGCGUGCCUAUAGCCCCAGCUACUCGGGAGGCGGAGCCUGGAGGAUCGCUUGAGUCCAAGAGUUCUGGGCUGUAGUGCGCUAUGCCGAUCAGGUGUCUGCACUAAAGUGCAGCAUCAAUAUGGUGACCUCCUGGUAGCGGGGCACCACCCGGUUGCCUAAGGAGCAGUGAACAGCCCAGGUCGGAAACGGAGCAGUUUAAAACUCCCGUGAUGAUCAGUAGUGGGAUCGUGCCUGUGAAUAGCCACUGCACUCCAGCCUGGGCAACACAGGGAGAUCCCAUCUCU
This 299-nucleotide signal recognition particle RNA is filed under the name Saimiri boliviensis boliviensis (Bolivian squirrel monkey). RNAcentral's name for it is "Metazoan signal recognition particle RNA (ENSSBOG00000007986.1)". It matches the Rfam family "Metazoan signal recognition particle RNA". Rfam says of the family: The signal recognition particle (SRP) is a universally conserved ribonucleoprotein. It is involved in the co-translational targeting of proteins to membranes. The eukaryotic SRP consists of a 300-nucleotide 7S RNA and six proteins: SRPs 72, 68, 54, 19, 14, and 9. Lineage: Eukaryota; Metazoa; Chordata; Mammalia; Primates; Cebidae. The record is from RNAcentral.